UCCCUGGUGGUCCUAGUGGCUGGGAUUCGGCGCUCUCACCGCCGCGGCCGGGUUCGAUUCCCCGGUCAGGGAA
This 73-nucleotide transfer RNA is filed under the name Anguilla anguilla (European eel). RNAcentral's name for it is "tRNA-Glu". Lineage: Eukaryota; Metazoa; Chordata; Actinopteri; Anguilliformes; Anguillidae. The record is from RNAcentral.